CGGCCGGCCGCCCUCCCACGGGGAAAUCUCAGCGUUUUCUGCAGCCAAGCGAGCCGUGUGAGGGGGAAAUUCCCCCUCCUCUGGGACACCAUGAGGACUGGACUGAAGAGCCAAAACCAGUCUUAUGCUGCCCCCUGGUGACGAAAAUUAUCCUCCCCUGCACAUUUGCGGGCACUGGGCACAGCGCACAUACGUAGACCUGUCUGCAAAUGGUAGGAACAAACUGUACAUCCAGCAUAGUCGUGGACUCUGAGCAGGGACUCUUUGUGUUCAAGUCCUGCCAAAGUGGCUAACUGAAAAACUGACUGUUUUAUUAUCUGUAAAAUGGAGCCCACAAGGGUAACGUCGCCCCUGCAGUUGAGAAUAAAAUACUUGGAGCAACGCUGA
Molecule: non-coding RNA, 387 nt
Organism: Myodes glareolus (Bank vole)
Lineage: Eukaryota; Metazoa; Chordata; Mammalia; Rodentia; Cricetidae
Source: RefSeq, a predicted model, not a curated record